AUGCUCACUUAAGCAGCAUAUAUACUAAAAUUUGAACAAUAUAGAGAAGAUUAGCAUGACCCCUGUGCAAGGAUGAUGCAAAAUUUAUGAAGCAUUCCAUAUUUUG
Callithrix jacchus (white-tufted-ear marmoset) is the source of this 106-nucleotide small nuclear RNA. NCBI's taxonomy places the organism in Eukaryota, Metazoa, Chordata, Mammalia, Primates, Cebidae. The record is from Ensembl.